Molecule: non-coding RNA, 232 nt
Organism: Pelobates cultripes (western spadefoot toad)
Lineage: Eukaryota; Metazoa; Chordata; Amphibia; Anura; Pelobatidae
Source: the annotation of a GenBank genome assembly
AUCCUGAGGCCAGAGGUACAAGGCCCCAGUAAGAGCCACUGGUGGUUCUGGUUAUGGAGAAGCUGGUAAACCGUUUACCCUGGUUAAAGGGUGCGAUCCUGACAGAUAUCACAUGUGAGGACAUGGACGGGGUAUCAGAAGGUGUACACACUGUAUUCUUCAAUGAGUAUUUGUCAAUGAUUUUCGUUUUUUGGGGGGGAACGUUUGAACUGAAAGGAUUGGUCAGAUAUUU